Molecule: unclassified non-coding RNA, 344 nt
Filed under: Adenocarpus argyrophyllus
Lineage: Eukaryota; Viridiplantae; Streptophyta; Magnoliopsida; Fabales; Fabaceae
Description: partial external transcribed spacer
Source: RNAcentral
CGGUUGCGGCUCUGGUGUUCACUGUUAGGUUCUUGUGUUGCCUACCUGUUUAGCGGUAUUCAUGCGCCUCUUAAGACCCGUUCCAUCCAGACCCCUUCUAGGGCUGCUUGGGGAUUCGAAAGUGAUGCGUGUUUUGCGUUAGCUGUUUAUCGUAACGGCUGGCGUGGCCUCAUGUGUCUAUUGUUCCCUUGGAUGCGGUGCAUGCGGCGAACGUGGGCUGACGAUUGUGCCCCGUUGAGUCCCUUCGAUUUAUCGGUUGCCUUGAAUGACACUUUGCCGUAGUGCUGGUCUUGCUUCACCAUUCGUGGUGGCAACACUUGCACCUCUAGCAGAGCCGUUGAUGG